UGGGCGAAAGCCUGAUGGAGCGACACCGCGUGAAGGAUGAAGGUCUUCGGAUUGUAAACUUCUUUAGACCUAGAUGAAGGCAACCGGGUGAAUAAUCCGGUUGUUUGACAGUAUAGGUAGAAUAAGCCACGGCUAACUCUGUGCCAGCAGCCGCGGUAAUACAGAGGUGGCAAACGUUGUCCGGAUUUAUUGGGUGUAAAGGGCAUGUAGGCGGCUUCGUAAGUCAAAGGUGAAAUGGCCCGGCUCAACCAGGUCAUUGCCUUUGAAACUGCGGGGC
RNAcentral lists this ribosomal RNA (277 nucleotides) under uncultured bacterium. Its description in RNAcentral is "partial 16S small subunit ribosomal RNA". It matches the Rfam family "Bacterial small subunit ribosomal RNA", at positions 372 to 641 of the family's 1533-position model. The record is from RNAcentral.